UCAUACAACGGAGGCGCGAGGGCUGUCGCUGACCUUCGAAGGUCGUGCACGCCCGAGCCCUCUCACAAUCCAUCUCACCCUUUGUGCAUCGCCGCGUGGGUCCCCCCCUUUGCGGGAGGGCUCGCGUUUUCACAUAAAAACUCGAUACAGUGUAGAAUGUUUAUUUUUGCGGUCACACGCGAGCAAUA
This 188-nucleotide unclassified non-coding RNA is filed under the name uncultured Russula. RNAcentral's name for it is "sequence contains ITS1". Lineage: Eukaryota; Fungi; Basidiomycota; Agaricomycetes; Russulales; Russulaceae. The record is from RNAcentral.